RNAcentral lists this ribosomal RNA (492 nucleotides) under uncultured bacterium. Its description in RNAcentral is "partial 16S ribosomal RNA". It matches the Rfam family "Bacterial small subunit ribosomal RNA", at positions 29 to 507 of the family's 1533-position model. The record is from RNAcentral.
AGUGAACGCUGGCGGUAGGCCUAACACAUGCAAGUCGAACGGCAGCACAGUAAGAGCUUGCUCUUACGGGUGGCGAGUGGCGGACGGGUGAGGAAUACAUCGGAAUCUACUUUUUCGUGGGGGAUAACGUAGGGAAACUUACGCUAAUACCGCAUACGACCUACGGGUGAAAGCAGGGGAUCUUCGGACCUUGCGCGAUUGAAUGAGCCGAUGUCGGAUUAGCUAGUUGGCGGGGUAAAGGCCCACCCAGGCGACGAUGCGUAGCUGGUCUGAGAGGAUGAUCAGCCACACUGGAACUGAGACACGGUCCAGACUCCUACGGGAGGCAGCAGUGGGGAAUAUUGGACAAUGGGCGCAAGCCUGAUCCAGCCAUACCGCGUGGGUGAAGAAGGCCUUCGGGUUGUAAAGCCCUUUUGUUGGGAAAGAAAAGCAGCAGGUUAAUACCCCGCUGUUCUGACGGUACCCAAAGAAUAAGCACCGGCUAACUUCGUG